UGGGGAAUUUUGGACAAUGGGCGAAAGCCUGAUCCAGCAAUGCCGCGUGUGUGAAGAAGGCCUUCGGGUUGUAAAGCACUUUUGUCCGGAAAGAAAUCCUUGGCUCUAAUACAGUCGGGGGAUGACGGUACCGGAAGAAUAAGCACCGGCUAACUACGUGCCAGCAGCCGCGGUAAUACGUAGGGUGCAAGCGUUAAUCGGAAUUACUGGGCGUAAAGCGUGCGCAGGCGGUUUGCUAAGACCGAUGUGAAAUCCCCGGGCUCAACCUGGGAACUGCAUUGGUGACUGGCAGGCUAGAGUAUGGCAGAGGGGGGUAGAAUUCCACGUGUAGCAGUGAAAUGCGUAGAGAUGUGGAGGAAUACCGAUGGCGAAGGCAGCCCCCUGGGCCAAUACUGACGCUCAUGCACGAAAGCGUGGGGAGCAAAACAGGAUUAGAUACCCUGGUAGUCCACGCCCUAAAACGAUGUCAACUAGUUGUUGGGGAUUCAUUUCCUUAGUAACGUAGCUAACGCGUGAAGUUGACCGCCUGGGGAGUACGGUCGCAAGAUUAAAGCUUAAAUGAAUUGACGGGGUCAUAGCUGUUUCCU
RNAcentral lists this ribosomal RNA (587 nucleotides) under uncultured bacterium. RNAcentral's name for it is "partial 16S ribosomal RNA". It matches the Rfam family "Bacterial small subunit ribosomal RNA", at positions 355 to 1375 of the family's 1533-position model. The record is from RNAcentral.